GUGAAGUGACGAGGAAAUUCAUGGUCUGUCAAUCCACUGAUUGUUUGUGAUGUUAUUCGUGAAUCCCGACAGGUUCUGAUCAC
This is a small nucleolar RNA of Dioscorea cayenensis subsp. rotundata (Guinea yam), 83 nucleotides long. RefSeq annotates it as small nucleolar RNA snoR14. The record is from RefSeq and is a predicted model, not a curated record. The transcript has a single exon. Lineage: Eukaryota; Viridiplantae; Streptophyta; Magnoliopsida; Dioscoreales; Dioscoreaceae.